GCAUCGUUGGACUGGCGUUGUAGCUUAUAAAACUGAACCGAUACGUUUUAUAUGGAAGCCAAUUGGCUGGUGGUGUGAUUCCCUUUUUUGGGAAACCUGAAACUAGCAAGCGGCAUCCCCCUAACUUUUUAGGGUUCUGUUUUUGUAGGUUGCAACGCCAGUCCAACGACUGC
This 173-nucleotide non-coding RNA is filed under the name Ghiorsea sp. RNAcentral describes it as "6S RNA". It matches the Rfam family "6S / SsrS RNA". Rfam says of the family: E. coli 6S RNA was the first non coding RNA to be sequenced, but its function was unknown until recently. The record is from RNAcentral. Lineage: Bacteria; Pseudomonadati; Pseudomonadota; Candidatius Mariprofundia; Mariprofundales.